CUGACUGCAGGGCAUGGAACAACUUGAUAGCUGCAGACACCCAUCAAGGCAAGUCAGGCCUUCCUUCCCGCUGUUUCAGAUAAGGACUGAGGAGGCCGCUGCCUGGUGCUAAUACCUUCAGGACUUCCUUAUCACACUCAGACUUUCUCUGCUACUUUAUUUUUCUUUUCAUUUGGGGCUGAUGAAACGUUUAAACCAAAGGAAAGAUAUUAAUGCCCACUGGUCUUUUUUUAUGCCGCACAAUGGGUUCGCAGUACCCUCCAAGUCUUCGAAUUCUUCUCUCGGCUCUGAUUCUCGUGUAUGAAAUCUCUUUCAUCCUCAUAUUUUAUUUCUUUGUUUUAUAUGAUCAUCAAAGAAACCUUGAUAUCUACCCAGUAUUUCAAGAUGUCAACAUCAUGGUGUUUUUUGGUUUCGCCUUCCUCCUGACUUUCUUGAGACGAUAUGGCUUCAGCAGCACUGGAUUCAGCCUUCUUCUGGCUGCCCUGGCAGUGCAGUGGGCUGUGAUGGUGGACGGAUUUCUGUUCCAUUUCUCAAAUGGGAAAGUGAGGAUCAGUCUUCAAAGCAUCUUAACAGCUGUUAUGAGCAUCCCCACGGUGUUGAUUUCAGCUGGAGCUGUCCUUGGGAAAGCCAAUCCGAUCCAAUUGAUCCUGAUGGCUCUGAUAGAGGUGACCGUUUUUGCUGCUAACCGAUGGAUUGCUAUGGAUGUUCUGCAGGUGGAAAACCACUUAAGCUUGAUGUACGUCCAUUUGUUUGGGGCUUAUUUUGGGCUGAUGUUAGCCUGGUGGCUGUAUCAUCCAUCCCUGAGCCAGAAAGCGGAGAAGGAGACCUCAAAGCCAGCUUCCCAUUUGUUUGCAAUGCUAGGUACUCUCUUCCUCUGGAUAUUCUGGCCCAGCUUCAAUUCAGUCCUGAUCAACAAUGAGGGGGACAAAAGUGUUGCCAUCUACAACACCUAUUUUGCAAUUGCUUCAAGUACCGUCACUGCCUUUGCACUCUCGGUGGCUACCAACAAAGACGGAAAGAUCAACAUGACCCAAAUCCAGAAUUCCACACUGGCCGGUGGAGUUGCUGUUGGCUUUUCAGCAUCCAGCAUCCAGCAUCCUUGGAUCGCAAUAACUUUGGGCCUGCUGGCUGGGACUGUCUCUGUACUGGGGUCUGUCUUUUUGCAGAAACCCUUGAAUACAUAUCUGAAGAUCCAUGAUACCUGCAGAGUCCAUUCCACAUUUGGCUUCCCCAGCUUGCUUGGUGCGAUAGCGCACACCAUUCUUACCAUAGCAGACCACUGGGGAGGCAGCAAUCAGUCUCACUGGGGCUACGUGGCUUUGAUGGGACUUGGUGCACUCUCUCUGAGCAUAAUCCUAAGUCUAGUUGCUGGUUUUAUUACAGGUUCCUUGUUAAUUUGUAAAUUAUGGAAAGCACCACCUGUAGCCAAGUACUUCGAUGAUCAAGCUUAUUGGGAGUUCCCCCACUUGGCUGUUGGAUACUGAAUACAGACAUCCAGAUUGCCAUCAACCAGAACACUGGCGAGAGUAACUUUCUGUAACUGUGAGACUAUGUGGAGUGUAAAUGGCUGAUUAACGGGGCACUAGAGGCUACUGCACAGACUCUGCCUUGCAAAGAAAGAUGGACAGAUCACUGUAACCUAUCCUCAUCAACUACAGCAAUGAUUCUCAACCCAUUUUGUAUGGUGACCCACUUCAAAGGAGAGUAGGCACAAAUCAAUAAAACUGCAGAAGCCUGUCACCCAUUUUCACUGGCUUCAUGACCCACAGAAGGAAAAAAAAACCCUGACCUACAUCAUAAUAAUAUAGCCAGUGGUGGGAUUCAAAUAAUUUAACAACCGGU
Sphaerodactylus townsendi is the source of this 1842-nucleotide RNA transcript. It is a transcript of the gene named RH-like protein, with no coding region annotated. Lineage: Eukaryota; Metazoa; Chordata; Lepidosauria; Squamata; Sphaerodactylidae. The record is from RefSeq and is a predicted model, not a curated record. The transcript is spliced from 11 exons.